This 226-nucleotide long non-coding RNA is filed under the name Prunus persica (peach). RNAcentral describes it as "long non-coding RNA (PPER_LNC007835)". The record is from RNAcentral. Lineage: Eukaryota; Viridiplantae; Streptophyta; Magnoliopsida; Rosales; Rosaceae.
GGGCAAUAGCUCAAGUCAAGGAACUCAGGUCUCAUAAAGUAUCCAAAUUAUUUGAGAAGACGUUACAUAAUGAGUUGGUAACUCAUGACAUCGACUGUCUCAAAGUUGCAAAGAAAGCUGAUAUAUAUCGGCACAGUCACUAGAGCCUAGUAUAUAUAGGCUAUUACCUAGUAAGCGUCUCAAGUGCAAACACAUUGUGUGGCUGAUUGGCUUUACAUGCAAGUAG